This 325-nucleotide ribosomal RNA is filed under the name Clostridioides difficile. RNAcentral's name for it is "bacterial LSU rRNA". It matches the Rfam family "Bacterial large subunit ribosomal RNA", at positions 1118 to 1451 of the family's 2925-position model. Lineage: Bacteria; Bacillati; Bacillota; Clostridia; Peptostreptococcales; Peptostreptococcaceae. The record is from RNAcentral.
ACAGUUCAAAGAGUGCGUAAUAGCUCACUGGUCGAGUGAUCCUGCGCCGAAGAUUUCCGGGGCUAAAACUUACUACCGAAGCUACGGCAUCAGUAAGGAUGGGUAGGGGAGCUUCCCAUACGGGUUGAAGCAUGACCGUAAGGACAUGUGGACAGUAUGGGAGUGAGAAUGUUGGCAUGAGUAGCGAGAUGUGGGUGAGAAUCCCACAGGCCGUAAACCCAAGGUUUCCAGGGGAAGGUUCGUCCGCCCUGGGUUAGUCGGGACCUAAGCUGAGGCCGAAAGGCGUAGGUGAUGGACAACAGGUUGAUAUUCCUGUACUACCGAU